GGCUCGGUGGUGGGCGGUCCACGUUUGCGACUUAUAAAUAAAGUUUUAUUGAUCGUUGACAGUAAAGGUGCCCGUUCGACUCGGGCCUGAGCCA
This is a non-coding RNA of Mycena latifolia, 94 nucleotides long. The record is from the annotation of a GenBank genome assembly. Lineage: Eukaryota; Fungi; Basidiomycota; Agaricomycetes; Agaricales; Mycenaceae.